This 18515-nucleotide long non-coding RNA is filed under the name Lactuca sativa (garden lettuce). RNAcentral describes it as "long non-coding RNA (LSAT_LNC000869)". Lineage: Eukaryota; Viridiplantae; Streptophyta; Magnoliopsida; Asterales; Asteraceae. The record is from RNAcentral.
UACUUUUCUUGUGAAUUUUGUACCUACCUUGGUGUUAUUUGACUCAGGUGCGAGUCGGUCUUUUGUAUCUUUGGCUUUUAGUCAGCAUAUCAGUGUUAGUCGUGAGGCGUUGAGUCGGCCUCUGAGAGUUUCCAUAGCUGACGAGAGGGUGAUAUAUGCCACGGAGGUUCUCAAAGGGUGCGUAGUCGAGAUUUUUGGUGUUGAGUUCCUGAUUGAUUUGGUUCCUAUUGCGAUGGGUGAUGUCUGUGUCAUUAUGGGCAUGGAUUGGUUGAGCAGAUUCGGUGCGGUUAUCGACUGCGAGCGACAGUUGGUGACCAUACGAGACCCUAGUGGGGGAGUUCUUGCGGUGUACGGCGAGGGUACACGUUCUGGAUCAGCGUUUUGUUCGGCCGCUAGGACGAGGCAGUGUCUACAGUAGGGUUGUAAGGGUUUUGUGGCGUAUGUGAUGGAUAUGCGGGUGGAUUCCGAGAGACCGAGGUCAGUUGAGGAGGUUCCGGUAGUGCGUGAGUUCCCGGAUGUAUUUCCUGAGGAGUUGCCGGGUGUGCCUCCUGUGAGGCAAGUGGAGUUCAAUAUCGAUUUGGUGCCGGGGGCCGCACCUAUCGCUAAGAUGCCUUAUCGCCUUGCACCUCCAUAGAUGCAAGAGUUAUCCUCGCAGCUUCAGGAGCUGCUGGGGAAGGGGUUUAUUCGGCCGAGCAGCUCGCCGUGAGGAGCGCCUAUCCUGUUUGUCAAGAAGAAGGAUGGUUCACACCGGAUGUGCAUUGAUUACCGGGAGUUGAACAAGCUGACGGUCAAGAACCGUUACCCGUUGCCGAGGAUCGACGAUUUGUUCGAUCAGUUGCAGGGAGCAUCUUGGUUCUCCAAGAUCGAUUUGAGGUCUGGAUAUCAUCAGGUGAGGGUGCGAGAUGAGGACGUCCAGAAGACGGCGUUCAGGACGCGUUAUAGGCAUUACAAGUUUGUGGUGAUGCCUUUCAGGCUCACCAAUGCCCCGGCAGUGUUCAUGGAUCUCAUGAACCGAGUGUGCAGGCCGAUGCUGGAUCGGCCAGUGAUCAUAUUUAUCAACGACAUUUUGGUAUAUUCGAGAUCUAGAGAGCAGCAUGAGGAGCAUUUGAGGGAGAUCCUCGGAGUUCUGAGAUCGGAGAGGCUUUAUGCCAAAUUCUCCAAGUGUGAUUUCUGGUUGCGAGAGGUCCAGUUCCUAGGGCAUCUCGUUAACCAGAAAGGGAUAUUGGUCGACCCGGCCAAAGUUGAGGCAGUGAUGAGUUGGGAGGUGCCGAGGUCACCCUCCGAGAUCAGGAGUUUCUUAGGGUUGGCAGGUUAUUUUCUGAGAUUUAUCAAGGAUUUCUCUAAGAUCGCAGCGCCACUCACUAGGUUGACCCGGAAGGGUGUCGCUUUUUUAUGGGGCCCCGAGCAGCAGGCCUCCUUUGAGACGCUUCGUCAAAGGUUAUGCGAAGCCCCGGUGUUAGCCCUCCCGGAGGGGAUGGAGGACUUUGUGGUAUACUGUGAUGCAUCGAUCUUGGGGUUGGGAGCGGUGCUGAUGCAGAGAGGGCAUGUGAUAGCAUACGCAUCGAGGCAGCUGAAGCCUCAUGAGACGAGGUAUCCCACCCAUGAUCUAGAGUUGGGGGCAGUGGUGUUCGCCCUCAAAAUUUGGCGUCACUAUCUGUAUGGGGUUCGGUGUACGAUAUACACGGACCAUAAGAGCCUGAAGUAUUUGAUGGAUCAGCCUAACCUAAAUAUGCGGCAGAGGAGGUGGUUGGAUGUGGUCAAGGAUUAUGAUUGUGAGAUCCUGUACCAUCCGGGCAAGGCUAAUGUGGUAGCCGACGCCCUGAGUCGCAGGGCGGAGAGCGCCCCAUUGCGAGGUGUAUGUUUGCGAUUGACCGUGAUGGCUCCGGUGUUGGACACCAUUCGUGGAGCACAGGCUGAGGCCGUGAGAUCGGAGAACCAGAAGAGAGAGCGAGUUGUUGGGUUGGUAUCGGAGUUCGUUACCGAUGGUCGGGGGCUUAUGACAUUUCAGGGGCGUAUAUGGGUACCGUUUGUGGGAGGGACGCGUACCAUUUUGAUGGAAGAGGCUCAUCGGUCGAAAUUCUCGAUCCAUCCUGGGGCCACUAAGAUGUAUUUGGACCUGAGGAGAGAGUAUUGGUGGCCCUGUAUGAAGAGGGAUGUUGCGUGGUUUGUUGAGAGGUGCUUAACCUGCCGUAGGGUUAAGGCCGAGCACCAGAGACCGCAUGGUAAGUUGCAGCCGUUGGAGGUUCCCGAAUGGAAGUGGGAACAGAUUACCAUGGAUUUUAUCACCAAAUUGCCAAGGACUGCUAGGGGAGUCGAUGCAAUUUGGGUGAUUGUGGACAGGUUGACAAAGAGCGCCCACUUCCUUGCUAUCAGUGAGAGCUCUUCCGCAGAGAAGUUAGCAGAGAUGUACGUGAGGGAAGUGGUAUCUCGGCAUGGAGUGCCGAUCUCGAUUGUCUCAGACCGAGAUGUGCGUUUCACUUCCAGAUUCUGGAAGAAGUUUCAUGAGGAGUUGGGUACUAGGCUGCAUUUUAGUACCGCAUAUCACCCCCAGACAGACGGACAGAGUGAGCGGACGAUUCAGACGCUCGAGGACAUGCUCCGGGCAUGUGUGUUGGAUUUCGGGGGGAGUUGGGAUACGUACUUGCCCUUGGCAGAGUUUUCCUACAACAACAGCCAUCAUUCGAGCAUUGGUAUGCCGCCCUUUGAGUUGUUGUAUGGGAGGAGGUGUCGGACCCCCAUUUGUUGGGGAGAGGUUGGACAGCGUGUGAUGGACAGUACGGAGAUCGUGCUUCAGAAGACAGAGCAGAUCCAGCAGGUCAGGCAGAGGUUGUUGACCGCUCAGAGUCGUCAGAAGAGCUGUGCAGACAGACGCCGAUCCGAGCUUGAGUUUCAGGUCGGCGACCUUGUACUCCUGAAGGUCUCUCCUUGGAAAGGAGUGAUUCGAUUCAGGAAGAGGGGCAAGUUGGGGCCCCGAUAUAUUGGUCCAUUCCAAGUGAUCGCGAGGGUAGGCCGGGUAGCCUAUCGUUUCGAUUUUCCAGCAGAGUUGGGGCAGAUUCACGACACUUUCCAUGUGUCGCAAUUGUGGAAGUGUAUAGCUGAUGAGUCGGCAGUGGUUCCAUUGGAGGAUAUUCAGAUGCAUGCGAGCCUGAAUUAUGUAGAGAGACCAGUGGCAAUCAGGGAUCGGAAAAUCAAGGUUCUGAGGAACAAGGAGGUACCCUUAGUUUUGGUUCAGUGGCAGCAUCGGAAGGGGUCCCAGAUGACUUGGGAGCCGAAGCGUGAGAUGCGCGAGCAGCAUCCGGAGUUAUUUGCAGAGCGAGACUUCGAGGACGAAGUCUAGUUCUAGUGAGCGACAGUUGUAAUAGCCCAGAUUCCCAGGUAUUAUUCAUUCUUAUAUUUUUGUAUUUUGUGAGGAUACUCGGCGAGUUAGAGCUUAGACUCGCCGAGUAGGAUCGCGGUUUGGACGCGGGUUCACGCCUGGACUCGGCGAGUCCAAGGAGUGGACUCGGCAAGUCCACACUGUUUAAUGAAACCCUAAAUCCCCGGGUAUGGAGCCUAUUUAAUGGCACUUAUAGCCUCCCCAUUGUGGCUACCAGUCCCUUGAGAGAACCAUAAGAGAGCUAAUUCGUUUUGGGAGAGAAGAAGUCACUUUUGGGCCUUUGUAUUUCUUGUUUAGCAAGAAAAAGGUGGCAAGAACAAGGAGAAGGUGAGAUUCUAGCAGAUCCAGAAUCCAGAGGCUUCAUUUUGAGGUAAUGAUUCGAAUCUCCUUCAGUUUUAGGGUUGAUCUUUAGAGUUAGGGUUUUAUAAUCCCUAUGAAGAGUGAUUAUGUGAAGCAAAUGGUCCCUCUUCGAGUUUGUGCCUUGGAAAUGAACUCGCCGAGUUGUUCUUGAGACUCGGCGAGUAGGUUUGGAGUUUCACGUAAAGUGUUCAGCGAGUGGACUCGUCGGGUUGGGGGUUGACCCAGUGAGUCGGGGAGAGUCAUUAGGGGGCUGAGUCAAGCCUGAACUCGCCGAGUUGUUCUUGAGUCGUGGUGGCCCUGCGAUUCAUGCCAGGUGGAACUCGUCGAGUCAGGGAAGCACUCGACGUGUCAAGGGAGGAUUCUAGGGAGUCAGUGAACACGUAUAGACUCGCCGAGUCGCUCUAGUGCACUCGCCGAGUCCGGUCAAAGUUGACCGUUGACCGUUGACCAGAGUUGAGCAGUGUUGACUUGAUAGGGGUAGUCAACCUUAGUUGUGAAAGUGUUAAUUAGAGAUAAAUUGUGUUAUAGGAGGAUUAUAGCUCAGAGGAUCGAGCGCGAGUUAUUUCCGGGAUUUACAAGUUAUCGAGAUACGCAAGGUGAGUCUUCUGACUAUACUUUACCUUGAGUAGGUAAUCAGAGUUAUGUGACAGAGUAUUUGUAUGUUAUAUGUAUGUUAUGUGUUGUACUGCAUUAUUUCUAUGUGAUUUAUGCUGUGCAUGUUUAUAGAGUUGGAACCGGAAGGUUCCCAGAGUUAGAACUAGAGGGUUCACAGAGUGGGGUCUACGGACCCACAGAGUUAUAGUAUCGAGUGGCUAAUAUGUUAUGCGUGGUAUUUUGGGGAACUCAGUAAGCUUUAUGCUUACAGUGUUGGUGUUAUUUGUUUCAGGUACUAGUGAUGACCGUGGAAAGGCGCCGGCUUGAUUAGUACACACACAUGGGAUUCUUAUGAUAUGUGAUCUUGGGAUUCUUUGUAUGACGUGGAUUGGAGUUUUAAACAUUGAUGUUUUAUGAAAAUUAAAUGAAUAUGUUUUUAUAUUAUGCGAAAAAUUAUUUUGAAAUUUACAGUGUUACAAGUUGGUAUCAGAGCCUUGGUUUGAGGGAUUCGAGUACACCUUCGGGCGUAUUUGAACUCAAACUUAGGAUUUGAGAAGUAUUUUCAAAAAGGGUGACAGACUUUUGGAAGUACACAGAGCAGAGUUGUGUGUACGAUCAGUCCGCGCCCAAACGGUGGUUUCCAAAAAUACCCUCAGUUUAUGUGAUAAUGAUAUUGAUAUGAUGUAUUCUCAUGCUAGAGUAGGCUAUGUACUCCUAUUAGGAGAAUGUAGUGUUUAAAAAGGGGGAGAAUGUAGAUGUAAAAUUGUAAAAGUCGAAUAUAGUGUUUUGUAUAGUUUCGCAUUUUAUGUUAGUUUACUAAGUCAUCUUUAUGCGAAGUGUAUUGUCUAGACUUAGUAUAUUUUUUGUACACUCAUGUUCGCUAUAAAUAGGUACUGAGGUUAGUAGUAGAAGAGAGACUUGUCGUAACAAACAUAUCUUUUCUGCUUAUUCUGUAAUCAGUCUUUAUCAAUAUGAGAUCUGAUUAAUAUUUACUCUUUGUGUUCUAAAUCUUCAAUUACUGAAAUCAAACUUUGUUUUCUCAAAUCACGAUAACAUUUCUCUUCAAUUGGUAUCAGAGCAGGAUUCAAACUGCUUCGAUCUGAUUUUCGUGUUAGAAUCAUUUGCUUUUUGAGUUGCAACUUACUCAAAAUAUUCCGCGCAUUUUGGUUUUGAAAAUCACAUUUGAUCUUUAGAUUUGAAUUGAUUAUGUCUUUGAAUUGUUAAGUCGAGUAAUCGAUUAGUGAUUUGUGAUCAAUUCAAUUGAUCAAAUUCUCAAUUUCAUCAAGUUUUUCAAGCUUUCUGAAAAUUUCUGUGUUCAUCAAUGGCGAACUUCAACAUGAAUACAAUGACUUCCUUCUCUCACUUGCGUGGUUCUUCAACCAAAAUUCCGAUGUUAAUUCCAGAAUACUAUGAUCAGUGGGCUGAUAGAAUGGAAAAUUACUUAAAUGGAAUUGAUGAAGAACUUUGGAAUUGUAUCGAUGGAACAGUGCAAGCUCAUGUUAAUGUUCAACCAAUUGGUCCAUCUACUACAUCUACUGAAGUUGCUGAUCAAGAAAAACCGUUGAAGAAUAAUGAAAAGAGGUGCAUGAGGGAACUAAGAGGUGCUCUACCUCUUGUGGUUUACAAUUACAUCCGUAGUUGUAAAACAGCCAAGGAGAUCUGGAACACUCUAAAAGAAAAGUAUCAAGGUAGCGAAAAGACGAAGAUCAACUCUUUGAAGCAAUGUCUAGUUGAACUGAAGGAAUUCAGACAAAAGGAUGCAGAAACUCUUGAAAAUUACUAUGAUCGUCUGAAUGACCUUAUGUUUCGCUGCAAUAGGUAUGGAAUCACUAGGUCUCUCAUGAAGUUCAAUUUAACUUUCAUUAUGGGUCUUCGCAAGGAAUGGCGAAAUGUGAGCAUGAUGAUUAAGAAAUAACAGAGUUUUGAUACAACUAAAUUGAAUGAUCUCUACAAUCAAUUGAAAACACAUGAAUGUGAAGUUUUAGAAAUGUAUGAAGAAUCAAAACAAAGUAUUGGAGGUCCUUUGGCUCUUGUUUCAAAGGUAUCAGAAACUGAUGUUAAUGAAAAAGAUGGUUCAGAUGAUGAAGGAUUUUUGAUGAACUCUGAUGAUGAAGCUGUGGCAUUCUAUUCAAACAACAGAGUUAAGAAGUUUUUCAAAAAGCCUUUUAAUCCAAAAGGAAAGGCUAGUGAUGUGAAGAAUGCAGUCACAAGAACUGGAGGGGAGGAGAGGAAGAAAUUGGAGAAAGCUGAUGAGAAACAAAAAGAUGCAAAAGAAGUGAAGAAGCUGAAAGGUGAUUCAGGAAUUUACUGUCACUACUGCAAUGGUGCGAAUCAUUUUGCAGUUGAUUGCAUAUUGCGAAAGAAAGAAGAGAACAAGGAAAAAGUUAAAGAUGAAGCAUACUACUCUGAAAAGAUUGAAGAGAUACGUGCUAAGACCAAAGGAGUGUCUUUGGUUGCGAAAGGUGAAACUGACAAUGAAGAAAGUGGUACGUAUCAGAUCUGGUCUUCAGGAUCUGAUGACGAGGAAAUGAGGCAUCCCACACAUGGAGCAAUGUUCGCAAGUUUUGAAGAUUGCGAAGAGGAAAUUUCAGGAAGGUGCUUCGUAUCCAAAUCCACAGACAAAUCACCCAUGACAACCAAGGUACGUGCAAUACUUGAAUCUUUUAAUAUUCCUUUAUCUGCUUAUGAUGCUGAAAUUGUUUCAUUUGAUGAAACUGUGGCUUAUUUUGAUUCUGUUAUUGUGUCUGCUAGUACUGAAGCUCAAAAAUUAAGUAUGCAACUAGGUGAGACACGGAGAGAAUUAGAAAUAAAGAGGAGCAGAGUAGAAAAACUUGAAAUGCAGAUCAAAAAUAUAGAUUGUGAUAGGAAUAAUCUUACAAAUGAUGUUAGGUUGUUGCUAGCACAAAGGAACAUAUAUUGUAAUUCUGCCAAACGGCUAUAUGCAAAAUUAACUGCUUUACAUCAUUCUUCUGACAUUAGCAAAGAACAACAUAGGAAACUGUUACCUUUUCUUGAAUAUGAACGUGAAAAAGUUGAUGUUGUUUCUUAUGAUUGUGAAAGUACAAUUGCUCAAUUUGACAAAAUACCUGAUGAUAGAUAUACAUAUGGUAUUGUCAAAAUUGAUGAAUUUCUGAAUGCUGAUGAGUUAGUUAACAUUGUCAAUGAAAGUUUAACAAAGAGUGAACAAGUGAAAAUCUUAAAGAAAACAGAAAUUUCAACUCUUGCCUCUCAACUCAAUUAUGCUGAUAUUGAUGAAAAUUCAAAUAAUGUGAGUGAAAUCGGUGAGAUAGAAGAGGAAGAAGAGGUAGAUUGUUCUCAAUUGUCAAUAGUUAAUAUCACAUCUAAGAUUAAAGGUAAAGAAAUUAUUGUUGAUUCGAUAGUAGAGGAUGAAAUUGAUAAACCUUUAACUUCACAACAUUGUAAGUUUGAUAAUGUGGAAGUUGAAAGCAGGAAAUCUGAUGAUAACGAAGAAAACGGAGAAGAAAGGAAAGAUUCAAAUGAAACACCUCAAAGAGUUGUGGUUGAUCAAGUGUUUGAAAAUACAAAAGAAUUUGACAAAAUUUUAAAUGACAAAGGCGCACAUUAUUUGGAAACCAACACAGUGGUAUAUCAAAAUUUUGUAUGUACUGAUAAAACCAUUUUUCCAAAUCAAGUUUUUGUCACUACUGGAAAUGCUGAGAAAGUUUAUCCUGAAUUCAACAAAAUGAUUGAAAAAGAUAAUCUAAAGUUAACCACAGAUGGUUUUUUCGCAAAUCAAAACACAGAAGAAAACAAUUUAACUCAAAAUUCUUAUGUGUUUCAAAAACAAAAAUCAUUACAAAAAUGGGUGGUUAAAGGUGAAAAACCUAACAAAAUUUUUGAAAAAGUUGAAAAAUUAAAGGCUUAAGUGAAAUUAAAUUCUCAUGAAUUCAAAUUGAUUGUUGGAAAUUAUUCAACAGAAAAUAAUGUUUCAAAAAGAAAAGCAAGAAAAGUAGUUUUCUGGCAAGUUGUGUCAAAUGACAAACCAAGAGAUGAAAAAGAACAAAUUUCAAAAACAAAAUCAUCUAAAUUUCAGAGCAAUAAUAAACAAACAAAUUUUGUUGAUAAAAGUCCAUAUGUUCGCAAAUAUGACAACAAUCGAAAAUUUGAGAAUUCGCAAAAAUUUGCAAAUAAUCAAAAGUUUCAAAAUGUUGGCAAAUUCACGAAAACUUCAUCAAGUUUGACAGAUUCAACUCAAGCAAAAAUAAAAUUUUCACCAAAACUACCAAAUUUUCCAAAUCCUUCAGUUUCAAAACAGACCAAAGUUUCAUAUACAAAAGGAAAAUCUGAUGUAAGUACAAUCAAUCGAUGGUUUGAAGGGAAAGGAAGAAAAUAUCAAAGUGGGAAGUUUUCAGAGCAACAAAUCAAGAAUGCAUUUGACAAGUUCGCAAAUAACUCUUCCACUGCUAGUUCAUCAUCUCAUCAUUCGCAAGUUCCAGUUCAAAAAUGGAAACCAGUUAUCAAAAAUGUGAAUGUUGUGAAGGAUAAGAUUACAAUCAAUGGAAAUCCAAAACUAUUGAAUGACUAUAUAUCAAUAUCUAGAUCUGAUAAUGUUGAUAUAAUGGAUUCUGUCACAAACAAAGUGAAAACAUGGUUUGUAAAUUCCAUGAAUUUGUUUCAUUCUACUAAUGAUGGACCCAACAAGUCUUGGGUUCCUAAAUUCUUUCAAUAAAUGCAGGUGAUGUGUGACGAGCAAUAUGAUUCUAAAUGGNCUAUAAUAGUGGUUGCUCUCGUCACAUGAAUGGAAGAAAGGAAAACUGCGAGAUUAUAGAAGUUUGGAAAAUGCAGGAGUAGUCAAAUUUGGGAAUAAUCACAAGUGUCAAGUGAAAGGCUAUGGGAAAGUCACAAAUGGAAAAUUCACUGUGAACAGAGUUGCUUAUGUUGAAGGACUUCAACACAAUUUGAUAAGCGUGUCACAACUUGUUGUUGGUACUGGAAAUAAAGUUGUAUUUAAUGAAGAUGGUAGUAUAAUUUCAAAUGCGAAGUCAAAUGAAAUACUUCUCAAAUCCAACAGAUAUGGUGAUAUGUUUACACUGGACAUCAACCUAAUUGUGGGAAAACCUGCUGUGUGUUUACUAUCAAAAGCAUCUAAUGAUCUCAGCUGGCUUUGGCAUAGAAGAUUGUCACACUUGAACUUUCGAAAUAUUAAUAAACUUGUCACUGAAGAUUUAGUUCGAGGGUUACCAGUACUAAAAUUUGACAAUGAUUCUUUGUGUGCAGCUUGCGAACAAGGAAAACAACAUCGAAAAGGUCAUCCGAUUGUGAUAGAUUCAAAAAUCGUAGAACCAUUGGAACUUCUUCACAUUGACUUAUGUGGAUCGUCAACUGUUGCUACAAUCAAUAAAAAAACGGUAUAUUUUAGUUGUUGUAGAUGAUUUCUCUCGAUUCACAUGGGUGUUUUUUCUCAGGUUGAAAUCUGAAGUUGCUCAGACGAUGAUUAAUUUUAUCAAAAAGAUUGAACUUAGUCUGAAGAAGAAUGUACGAAAAAUUAAAAGUGAUAAUGGUUCUGAGUUUAAAAAUCAAACUCUUGAUAUUUUUCUCACAAGCAAAGGCAUUUCGCAUAAUUUCUCAUCACCAUAUACUCCACAACAAAAUGGUGUUGUUGAAAGAAGAAAUCAAUCUUUAUGCGAAGCAGCCAGAACCACGUUAACAUAUGCGAAUCUACCUCAAUAUCUUUGAGCAGAAGCAGUGUCCACUGCAUGUUUUACUCAGAAUCGAUCAUUCAUUUAUCGAAGAUUCAAUGUUACUCCAUAUGAAAUAAUCAAUAAUCGAAAACCUAAUGUAAAAUUCUUUCAUGUUUUUGGUUGCAGGUGCUUGAUCAUGAAUCUCAAAGAUAAUUUGUCCAAGUUCCAAGCUAAAGCUGAUGAAGGCAUAUUCUUAGGAUAUUCACAGAAUUCAGUUGCAUACAGAGUGCUUAAUAAAAGAACAAGAAAAGUUGAAGAAACUUUCAAUUUAACGUUUGAUGAUUACUAUCUUAAACAAAUAGAUAGUAAAUUUGAAAAUAAAUCAAUACUUGUGGAUUCAAAUACUCAAAUUGAUAAUUCUGAAAUCAAUGAUUUUGAUUAUGACUUAAUUUUUGGAAUUCCUGACAGGGCAAUUGAAGCAGAAAAUAAUGCUCCUGAUAAUCAAACAUCAGAAUCCUCAAAACAUACUGAUGAUUCGACAAUAACUACAACGUCAAUAACUUGUGAAAGUACGCAUGAUAUUCGUAUGGAGGAGGAGCAUACGAGUAUUCAUGAAGAUAGUCAGCCAACUUUCGAGGGGGAGAAUGAAAUUAUGAAUCAUCAAGUUGAGGGGGAGCAUUCGCAGAAUCAACAGGAACAUCAUUUUGAGGGGGAGCAUCAAGAUGAAGAUCAUGUUGAGGGGGAGCAUGAUGAAACAGAGACAAUUAAUCUUGAUGAAAAUGAUGAGUUUCAUGAACUAAAUGAUAACUUUUCUGUUGCAGGAUCUGAAAAUGAAGAUAUGUAUGAAGAUGCACCAUUAGAAUUUGAUCCUAAUUUUCCACCACUUGAGAAAUGGACAAGAAAUCAUCCAAAAGAACAGGUAAUUGGUAAUCCACAAGAUGGUGUGUUGACAAGAGCUCAAAUUCGUGCGAAAAAUGAGGUACUGAAUGCGAACCAAGAACUAUGUAUGUUUAAUGUCUUUAUUUCGAAAAUAGAGCCAAAGACAGUAAAGGAUGCUAUGGAACACUCAGAUUGGGUUGUUGCUAUGCAAUCUGAACUGGCUGAAUUUGAACGAAACAAGGUUUGGAGAUUAGUUUCUAAACCUUCUGAUGUUUCAAUUGUCGGAUUAAAAUGGAUUUUUAAAAACAAAACCGACAAAGAUGGCAAUAUUAUUCGAAAUAAAGCUAGACUAGUGGUUAAAGGUUAUUCGCAACAAGAAGGGAUAGACUAUGAAGAAACAUUUGCACCUGUUGCAAGACUUGAAGCAGUUCGCAUAUUUUUAGCCUAUGCAGCUCACAAAGACUUUGAUGUUUAUCAAAUGGAUGUUAAAUGUGCAUUCUUAAAUGGUGAACUAGAAGAAACAGUGUAUGUUGAACAACCACCAGGAUUUAUAAGCAAUGAACAUCCUAAUCAUGUUUACAUCCUAGAUAGGGCUGUAUAUGGAUUAAAACAAGCACCAAGAGCCUGAUACGCAACACUUACAAAUUUCUUGAAACAAUCUAAAUUUAAACAAGAAUCAGUUGACCCCACAUUAUUUCGCAUGAAUGUUGGGUGUCAUCUAAUGCUUGUUCAAAUUUAUGUUGAUGAUAUUAUCUUUGGCUCAACUGAUCCAGCAUUGUCAAUUGAAUUUGAAAAUCUAAUGAAAAGUCAGUUUGAAAUGAGCAUGAUGGGAAAAAUUAAUAANACUUAGCUUAAACAUAAGACAGAACAGUGAUGGAAUCUUAAUAAAUCAAGAAAAAUAUACGAAGAACUUGCUUGAAAAGUUUGGAAUGACUAAUAGCACGAAACUCAGAGUACCAAUGGCAGUAGGAACAAGACUAACUCCUUCGUUAGAUGCUCCUGCUGUUGAUUUAACACUUUAUCGAAGCAUGAUAGGGUCUUUAUUGUACUUAACUGCAAGUAGACCUGAUAUUAUGUUUUCGGUUUGCAAUUGUGCUAGAUAUCAAGCUAAUCCCAGAGAACCUCAUUUGACUGCAGUGAAAAAUAUUUUUCGCUAUCUUAAGGGAACAGUUUCUUUAGGACUUUGGUAUCCUACGAAAACGGGGUUUUUCAUUCAAGCUUUUUCAGAUUCUGAUCUAGGAGGAUGUACUUUGGAUAGGAAAAGUACGAGUGGUGGAAGUCAACUAUUGGAUGGGAAGUUGGUGAAUUGGCAAUCAAAGAAACAAACUUGUGUGGCUAUAUCAACUGCUGAGGCAGAAUACAUUGCUGCUGCUGCUUGCACUUCGCAAAUUAUUUGGAUUCAGAGUCAACUUCGUGACUAUGCAAUAAACAUGAAAAAGAUUCCUUUGUAUUGUGAUUCGCAAAGUGCAAUUCGCAUUUGUCAUAAUCCAGUACAACAUUCAAAGACAAAACACAUUGCUCUUCGAUAUCAUUUUAUCAAAGAUCAUGUGGAAGAUGGGAAUAUUGAAAUUCAUUUUGUUAAAACAACUGAACAACUUGCUGAUAUUUUUACAAAACCUCUUGAUGAAAAAUCAUUUGUUAGAAUUUUAGCAGGUUUGGGGAUGAUUAAUGCGAAUUCAAUUUCAAAAACUCAUGCCUAAAAGUCUUGUUCAGCAGUUAUGAGUCAAAUUUGUUCAGAGGUUACUGUUCAUUCAGAGGCUUCGCAUGGCUUCGCAUCCACAUCUUUUCGCAUCUGAGAUCAUAACAACUAAGGUAAGGUUUACGACUAAUUUUGAUUUUUUUUUUUAACUUUUGAAAAAUCAAAAAUCCAAAAAGAUUUUAUUUUGUUAUGUUCUUAAUUUUGAAAAAUUAAAAAUCCAAAAAGAUUUUAUUUUGUUAUGUUUUUAAUUUUGAAAAAUUAAAAAUCCAAAAAGAUUUUAUUUUGUUAUGUUUUUAAUUUUGAAAAAUUCAAAAAUCACAAAAAUAUUUUUGUUUUCUUUGUUCUUUAAACUUUGUGUGCUGAGAAUUUAAUACAGGGCUAAAAUGCGAAGAAGUCAUACUUAUGUGUUUCUACGGGAAGGUAUUAAUUUUCUUUUAAAAACUAGUUAGGAUGUCCCUAGAAGCAUGCUGCUGUAUGUAGACCAAAAGCCUCAACAAGACUCUAUGUGUGAAAAGAAAGCCUUAAUGAAAUUAUCACAUGAAAAUUUCUUCCCAAAAAGGCUUAUAUUCGCAUAAGUCAACAGAGCUACCUUACUCUUCUCAAAUGAGUUAAGAGUUUUCUGUUUUGUCCAUUAUAACAGAGGUAUACUUCGAUUCUUAUCCAAUCUUUUUAUACCAAACAAUUCUUACACUCCAAAUUUUUGAAGAGAUUUGUCCUUGAGGUCUUUGAUCAAACCAAUCAAAACCUAGACAAAUCACAAGUCUGUGUUUAUGAUCUAACAUCAUGAGUCCGUGAUGGAAGUGAAACCCAAAAAUCAUAAACCUUAAGGAAUUGACGGGGAACUUUGUUCCAGAUUUUUACGAAACCUUUGUUUCAGUAUCAAAAAUUUCGAAACUUCAAAUCAUAUUCAAUUCGCAUGUGUGGUCUUGAUCAAAUAUUCACAACCAACAAUGUUUGUUACCCAACAAGAUCCAGAACAAAUUUUUUUUUGAAUAUGAUUUCUGUGUAAGUUUUAUUCGCAAAUCCUAGUCAUGAUAAAUAUUUUCACAAGCCAACUUGUCACUGACUACACUGGUCAAACAAGUAAUUUCAUUUACAAUUUCUCACCUUAUGUUAAGGCUGAUAUGUAAUGAAAUUUAAAACCAAUCCAAAAUGUCUUUUAAAAGAAGCCCUUCGAUACUUCUCUACAAGUAUUCGAUUGUAAUUCACGGGAAACUACACAAGCUGUUGAUUAUCUCUCUUGAUGAUUAACGAAGCAACCUUUGCCUGGGGUUUAACUGCAUUCAUGUCAAAUUAAAUUUUUGACAUCACAAAAUUCCAAAUUUUUUGUUUCUCAUCUUAUUCUGUUGACACAAUGCACACACGAAAUCCUUGAGGUUCUGAGUAAAACCAACUCAGACUGAUGAUUUCGCAAAUCUGGCAUAUGACUUCACUUUAUAUCCCAAAAGUGAAAGAGCCUUGACUCCAUGCGAAGGGUUUUAACGGUUCAGAUUCUAUAACGGGAAACUUGACAGGCUGUGUACUCAAGAUGGUUGGUAUUCUAUCCGGUUUUCAAGGAGAUGUGACAGUUACUUUUUGAAGCAUGGUUAUCUUUUGCAGUCAUGAUCCGAUUUUCAAGGUGCCACAUCGGAUAACAUUAAAUGCAUCCCGCUUUAAUUUCAAAUCAAUUUGAGUAACCUAUAAAAGGGGGAUCAAGAACACUAUAUACGGUUACGCAAACAGAACUCUCACAAACCUCCAAAGUUUCAACCUUGAUCAAACUUCAUCUUUUUCAAACCCUAAAAAUGGCAGCCACUCAAUCUAACACUGAUGAAGUUCUUUCUCAAUCCCUGAUGAAAAUCCAAAGCACAAACAAUCAAGUUGAUCCAAAUGUAUCUUCUUAUCCUGAAGGCUUGAAGAUGCUUAUCGUUGCCCUGAAACGAUCACCUCUGUCAACUGCCAUGUUUAGUUCCUUCUCUGUUCCGAUGACAUGGUUAUCCUUGGCAGCUUCAACGGCAUCAUACAAUCAUACAGCGGAUGUGAUAACAUUCAACUUAAUCAACAACAAACGGGUCAAACUGUCCAAGAAGAUGUUUUUUGAAUUCUUGCAGAUUCCAAACAACCCUCCAUUUGUCAAACCUGUUAACUCUCAAAUCAUUCACAUAUUCAACGAGAUGGGCCAUCAACCAGAGCUUGAGAAGAUCAGUGACUUUCGAAAGUCUGGGUUGCCGUGCAUAUGGAAUUUCUUAUUUGGAAUUUUUCUCAGAUGCCUUACAGGAAGAUCAGUUGGACUGGAUAGAGGACGAAUGGAAGUAUAUGCCAUGGUUAUGGGCAUAUACUAUGAUAUAAACGUUGAUUAUGCAACCCAAUUAUGGAAGGAAUUUGUUAAGAGUCUAGAAAACACAAAUUCGAAAAAGGGGAUUUCGUGUGAAAGAUAUUGGAGCUUGAUUUUGGAGAAGGUCUAUGAAAAAGAAGCAAUUCCAGUAAUGGACGAUGUUGAAGUUGCUGAAUUUUCUUUGUAUCAGUUUCCAAAGGCAGUAGAAGAUGAUGAGGCAAUUUUUACUCAUGUGGCUCGCAUUCCAGAUGCGAUGCUUCGCAAGGUAUCUCAAACUCACAAAGUCUUGGUGAGAUAUUUGUGAACAGUUGAUCAAUCAGAGCAGACUGGAGUAUUAUUGGAUGUUACUGCUCCAUCAAAGAAGAAGAAGCUCAUAAAGAAGGAUGCGAAAGGUUCAUCUACACAACAAGUUCAAGAUGAAGAUAUUCAGAUUGAAGAAACUUCAUCUAAGUCAAAGAAAGAAAUAAUACCUUCUACGUCUGGGGUAUUGAAGAAAAUUCGCAAGGCUGAGGUGAGCAUUAAAGGCGUUACUAUUCGUAAUAUUCCAACUCUGAUUUCUCCAGGAAAGAAGAGGCAAAGAGUUGAAGAUGUUGCCAAGAACAUGCAACCUACUCUUAUCAAGAGAAAAAAGAUGGUAAUUCGCAAUGAAUCAUCUAAUGAAGAAAUAGUACUAGAAACUCCACCAGUGACAUCUACGGUAAAUGUUUCAUUACCUAUCAUCCAUACUUCGCAAAUCUCUACCACCUUACCUCUCACCAAACCACUCGAAAUAGUCACUACCAAAUCAGUUUCUGAGGAGGUACCUAUUUCUGAUACGGUUGUCAACGUAUCUGAUACGGGGACACCUAUCCUGAGUGUUGCAACCACAAUCCCAAUCUCCUUACCUAUUUCUUUACUAAUUGUUUCAAUUCCAUUUACAACAUUAUCCACCACAUCAUCAAUUUUUGAUCAUGCUCUUCAAAACCCAUUUACAACACCUUUUCCAUCUCAAUCACCCGAAAAUCCUCAACCUUCGCAACCUUUAUCUGAUAAUGAAGCUGAAGGAGGUGCCUUUGGAGGGAUAAUUGAAGACAUUCAUUUUGAUUCAGAGGAGGAGGAUAUUCCUGAUCAUAUGCUUAUGACAGGAAAACAAUUUAAAAUCCUAAAUCAGAAGUUGAAUGCUAUUAUUCAGUCGCAAGCUGAUUCCGGCAGGAUGUCUUCUAUAUCAGCAAUGGAGGUUGAUGUAAUGAUCAAAGGUGCUGAGAAGCGUAUGAUGGAGAAGGUUGAUCAAUCUGACUAGAAUAAUGAGCUUCGCAUUCAAGCACAAGGACCAAUUUUUCUUCAGUGGUUAAGGAUUUGAAAGCUGUUGCAAAAGAACGUCAUGUUCUUUUUUUAGAGGAUGUGAAGAAAGUUUAGGAGGAUGUCAACUAUAAGCUUUAAGUGUUGAAAUCUGAAAUUACGAAGGAGCUUCAGGAUAUUCAUACUCAAAAUGCUGAAGUUCAAAAGCAGAUUGCGGAGGUUUCUUCAAAAAUACAAAAGUUUGUUGAUGUUCCUAUUCUUGAAGCCCAUCACGAAGAAACAAAGGAGAAGUUUGAUUAGCUGACCAAGUUGGUGACUGAGCUUAAAAUGGUGGUUUCGCAAUAUUCACCUACACAAAUUCUCACUCCUGAGUUCUUGUCUCUAAAGAUUAAUACUUUAGAACAAGCAAUUCAAAAAGCUCUUGCUCCACUCGCCAAUUUUACUUCUUUACUACCAAAGGGUGCCCCACCUGCUUUCACAGGGUGCAAGGGGGAGUGAAAAGUUUAAGUAAAGAAGAGGAUUCGAAGACAGUUGGAAAAGUUAUAUCUACUCAACUUAUAACUACUCUUCCCAUACUUACGAAGCCAAUUUCUUCAACCACAAUAACCACAAAAACGAUUGCCAAAGGAAUCGUUAUUGAAGAAAAAGAAGGAGGUUCAAGUUCAAAACCUCAAACAGAUAUGGUGGGAAAAGGAAAAGGGAUUUUAUAUGAAAAAUCAAAGGAGGAAAAAAAAGUUGAGGUUGAAGCAGAGUUGGAAAGGAUGAGGCAAGUACAAAGCAUCAUGAGGCAGAGGGCAAGUGAUCCUCCCACGAUGAUCAAAUGAGAUCUUGCGAAGCUUUACUCUUACGAAACUAUAGAGUCAAAAUUUGUGGGGAGGGAAAUGUACGAAUUCGAGAAGAAGCCAAAGAGAAGUUAUGAUAUUGCGAAUUCAGACAAUUGUCAGCUGGAUUUUCCAAUAAAUGAAAUGCUAUUCAUCACUGCUCAGUACAAGAUUAGUGAGAAGUUUGAUAAUCCUGAUGAUUAUAUUCACAUGAAAAUCAGAUUUCAUGCUGUUUUGGGGAAGAAUCCAGAUGAAGUUUGGUCUUUAAUGAAGAUCAAAAAGGUGCUGACAAUCAAGAAAGACAUAUUGUUUGAAGACAUGCUUCAAAAUUUUCGUUAUUUUGUUAUCCGAGCAGACAACAAGCAGUAUGACUUCACUGUAGCAGAUUUUCCUCUGAUGAACUGCAAUGAUUUAAUUCAAGUGGCUCUGAUUUUGAAGCAUAUGGAAGAAAAUAAUCUCAAAGGCUUUGAGACUGAAGUGUUCAAGAUAGGCUUCACACAUGUGAAGACAUACAUCGACAAUUACUUCGAUUGUUUGGCUCUUACAGUUGAAGAACUGGCUAAUGUGUUGGGAAGAGAAGUGAAAGUUCUUUGGGAAGAAACUUUAUCUCAAUCAGCAUUAUCGAAAUAUGUUGUUGGGGAAAUAUGCCUGAAACCUUUCGGCAUGGUGUUUUCAGGAAGAGAUACAAAAGGGAAACCUAAGAAGUUCUUGUUUAAAGUCUCAGAGGUGGAAAGAUAUAAUUCUUCGCAAUAUACGCACUUUAUUGUUCGUAUGAACAAUUGCAAGAAGAACAAUGAAGGAGACAAGAAAGAUCUCAAGAAGGUGAUCUCCUGGUAUGGAGAAGUGCGAAAGACAAUCCACUCAGCUGUUCAAAAGCUUAUGGGAUGAAUAGCUUCGACUGUUUACAAAGGGGGAGAAUGUAGAUGUAAAAUUGUAAAAGUCGAAUAUAGUGUUUUGUAUAGUUUCGCAUUUUAUGUUAUUUUACUAAGUCAUCUUUAUGCGAAGUGAAAUGUCUAGACUUAGUAUAUUUUUUGUACACUCAUGUUCCCUAUAAAUAGGGACUGAGGUUAGAAGUAGANGCACCUCAGGGAUCUGCCCCUGCCGCCAUCAGAGCUACCGAGAGUCGGCCAGUGAAGGCCGAGGCGCCGAGGGCACGAGGGAGAGCUUUUCAGUUGACCGCGGAGGAGGUCCGCGCAGCGCCCGAUGUCGUGGUUGGUAUGUAUUCUUUCGUGUAUUUAUUUUGAUGUUGAGAUAUUAUGCUUAUAUUAUGUUAUGCGUAGGUACUUUUCUUGUGAAUUCUGUACCUGCCUUGGUGUUAUUUGACUCGGGUGCGAGUCGGUCUUUUGUAUCUUUGGCUUUUAGUCAGCAUAUCAGUGUUAGUCAUGAGGCGUUGAGUUGGCCUCUGAGAGUUUCCAUAGCUGACGAGAGGGCGAUAUAUGCCACGGAGAUUCUCCGAGGGUGCGUAGUCGAGAUUUUUGGUGUUGAGUUCCCGAUUGAUCUGGUUCCUAUUGUGAUGGGUGAUAUUUGUGUUAUUAUGGGCAUGGAUUGGUUG